This 465-nucleotide ribosomal RNA is filed under the name uncultured bacterium. RNAcentral's name for it is "bacterial SSU rRNA". It matches the Rfam family "Bacterial small subunit ribosomal RNA", at positions 29 to 509 of the family's 1533-position model. The record is from RNAcentral.
AAUGAACGUUGGCGGCGUGGAUUAGGCAUGCAAGUCGAGCGGAAAGGCCCGCAAGGGCACUCGAGCGGCGUAAGGGACAGUAAUGUGUAGGUAACGUACCCCUGGGUCUAGGAUAGCUGCGGGAAACUGCAAUUACUACUAGAUAACGUCUCCGGACCAAAGGUGUGAUUCCACCUGGGGAGCGGCCUACAUCCUAUUAGCUAGUUGGCGAGGUAAUGGCUCACCAAGGCGAAGAUGGGUAGCAGGUGUGAGAGCACGACCUGCGUCACUGGGACUGAGACACUGCCCAGACACCUACGGGUGGCUGCAGUCGAGAAUCUUCGGCAAUGGGCGAAAGCCUGACCGAGCGACGCCGCGUGUGGGAUGAAGGCCUGGUGUAACACUGUCGGAGGGAGUGAAGUGUUAGUGGGUUCUCCGAUUAACUUGUACUGAUCCUCGGAGGAAGGGUGGGCGUAAGUUCGUGCC